GACGAACGCUGGCGGCGUGCUUAACACAUGCAAGUCGAACGGAAAGGCCCUGCUUUUGUGCGGUGCUCGAGUGGCGAACGGGUGAGUAACACGUGAGUAACCUGCCCUUGACUUUGGGAUAACUUCAGGAAACUGGGGCUAAUACCGGAUAGGAGCUCCUGCUGCAUGGUGGGGGUUGGAAAGUUUCGGCGGUUGGGGAUGGACUCGCGGCUUAUCAGCUUGUUGGUGGGGUAGUGGCUUACCAAGGCUUUGACGGGUAGCCGGCCUGAGAGGGUGACCGGCCACAUUGGGACUGAGAUACGGCCCAGACUCCUACGGGAGGCAGCAGUGGGGAAUGUUGCACAAGGGGAGGAAGCCUGGUGCAGCAACGCCGCGUGGGGGAUGACGGCCUGCGGGUUGUGAACCACUUUCGCCUGUGACGAAGCGUGAGUGACGGUAAUGGGUAAAGAAGCACCGGCUAACUACGUG
RNAcentral lists this ribosomal RNA (468 nucleotides) under uncultured bacterium. RNAcentral's name for it is "partial 16S ribosomal RNA". It matches the Rfam family "Bacterial small subunit ribosomal RNA", at positions 28 to 507 of the family's 1533-position model. The record is from RNAcentral.